This 443-nucleotide ribosomal RNA is filed under the name uncultured bacterium. RNAcentral's name for it is "partial 16S ribosomal RNA". It matches the Rfam family "Bacterial small subunit ribosomal RNA", at positions 338 to 795 of the family's 1533-position model. The record is from RNAcentral.
CCUACGGGAGGCUGCAGUGGGGAAUAUUGGGCAAUGGGCGCAAGCCUGACCCAGCAACGCCGCGUGAAGGAAGAAGGCUUUCGGGUUGUAAACUUCUUUUCUGAGGGACGAAGAAAGUGACGGUACCUCAGGAAUAAGCCACGGCUAACUACGUGCCAGCAGCCGCGGUAAUACGUAGGUGGCAAGCGUUAUCCGGAUUUAUUGGGGGUAAAGGGCGUGUAGGCUGGAAAGCAAGUCAGAUGUUAAAACUCAGGGCUCAACCCUUAGCCUGCAUUUGAAACUGUUUUUCUUGAGUGCUGGAGAGGCAAUCGGAAUUCCGUGUGUAGAGGUGAAAUGCGGAGAUAUACGGAGGAACAGCAGUGGAGAAGGCGGAUUGCUGGACAGUAACUGACGCUGAGGCGUGAAAGCGUGGGGAGCAAACAGGAGUAGAUACCCCAGUAGUC